GAACUCGACAUUACUCAUUAAUGUGGUAAAAAUACACAUUAUUUGACGACAUAUGGAGUUGUCAAAAUAAUGGAUAUUUUUUAAUUUCUUGUUAUGAGUAAAUUAUGCCCAUUUUACACCUCCGAAUAUUAACCCAUUAAUGGGUGAAAAUUUAGUUGACGCGCAAUGAAAACGUUACGCACUUGAUGUGGAAGCGCAGCGAAAAUUUGUUUUGUGGAAAUUAAACUGAAAGGAAAUAAAUUGGCCUUCAUCGUGAUUUUGAUUCCGCUGCAGUAUUUGGUGAAGACUUUCGAAUGGAGAAUGCAAAGCUUAUGUCAUCGGGGAUAUGCUGGUUGUUCAAGUGAUAUCUCUUGCAUCAUCAAAUCUCCGGCUGCUAUCGAAGCGGAAUAAGCUUCUCCCGAGCGGGAUCUGCGUCAGCAUGUGCCCUCUUCUAAAAUGAACUGCACUCGUAAGUGACGGUUCGAGGCCUUUUCGGGGACUCGGGUGGUGUUAAGGAUCGGGUAGUUUUGCAGAAGCAUCUCGGAAGUCAUCUCGAAAGGCUGCGAUUAGAUCCUGCUUACUGGACUCGCCCGAUUCGAUAUGUUACUUUCUCACAAGGGCGAGGCACCUCAGAGGAAGACAAGGAACAUGGAAGGCGUUCGCAGGAUUCGCAGUAAUACGCAUAUGUAUACUAUUGAAUAUAAUGUUUGUGUAUC
This is a long non-coding RNA of Armigeres subalbatus, 695 nucleotides long. RefSeq lists it as uncharacterized. Lineage: Eukaryota; Metazoa; Arthropoda; Insecta; Diptera; Culicidae. The record is from RefSeq and is a predicted model, not a curated record. The transcript is spliced from 3 exons.